UACGAAGGGGGCUAGCGUUGCUCGGAAUUACUGGGCGUAAAGGGCGCGUAGGCGGACAUUUAAGUCAGGGGUGAAAUCCCGCAGCUCAACUGCGGAACUGCCUUUGAUACUGGGUAUCUUGAGUAUGGAAGAGGUGAGUGGAAUUCCGAGUGUAGAGGUGAAAUUCGUAGAUAUUCGGAGGAACACCAGUGGCGAAGGCGGCUCACUGGUCCAUUACUGACGCUGAGGUGCGAAAGCGUGGGGAGCAAACAGG
This 253-nucleotide ribosomal RNA is filed under the name uncultured bacterium. Its description in RNAcentral is "partial 16S ribosomal RNA". It matches the Rfam family "Bacterial small subunit ribosomal RNA", at positions 524 to 776 of the family's 1533-position model. The record is from RNAcentral.